GGUCCCGUAGCUCAGCUGGUUAGAGCGUCGUACUAAUAAUUCCUCAUUGGGAAUCAUUAGUAAUGCGAAGGUCGCGAGUUCGAUCCUCUCCGGGACCA
This is a transfer RNA of 98 nucleotides. It matches the Rfam family "tRNA". Rfam says of the family: Transfer RNA (tRNA) molecules are approximately 80 nucleotides in length. Their secondary structure includes four short double-helical elements and three loops (D, anti-codon, and T loops).